RNAcentral lists this ribosomal RNA (436 nucleotides) under uncultured bacterium. Its description in RNAcentral is "bacterial LSU rRNA". It matches the Rfam family "Bacterial large subunit ribosomal RNA", at positions 31 to 506 of the family's 2925-position model. The record is from RNAcentral.
CCUUGGCGAUCACAGGCGAUGAAGGACGUAGUAGCCUGCGAUAAGCGUCGGCGAGCUGGCAAACGAGCUUUGACCCGACGAUUUCCGAAUGGGGAAACCCGGCCCGCAAGGGGUCAUCCCGCGCUGAAUUCAUAGGCGCGUGGAGGCGAACGCAGCGAACUGAAACAUCUAAGUAGCUGCAGGAAAAGAAAUCAACCGAGAUUCCGAAAGUAGUGGCGAGCGAAAUCGGAUCAGCCUGUACGUGAUAGUCGACUUGUUAGAAGAACGGUCUGGAAAGUCCGGCCAUAGCGGGUGAUAGCCCCGUAUUCGAAAACUUGUCGGUGGUACUGAGCGUACGUUAAGUAGGGCGGGACACGUGAAAUCCUGUCUGAAGAUGGGGGGACCAUCCUCCAAGGCUAAAUACUCGUGAUCGACCGAUAGUGAACCAGUACCGUGA